AUGACCCUUCUCUCAGAAAGACUGCUGCACCAGAGACAUCGUUCUGCUUGUACGCUUGAUGGUGUAACAGGAGCACGUUUUCGGCUCGCUCCGGAACCCUGAUUUACAAUGGUGGGGGCCCGGGGCAGCGUACAUGGUGGGUGCCCUUUUGCCUGGUCAGUACUUUUCGUGGUGCUUCAGAAGGAUAAAUUGUGACCAGGUCCAUGGAGAUGCCUGACCUGGAUGCGACUAUUCCGUGCGAUAUUUUGCAUCUUCUAAGAUCUUUCAUCAACUGUCUUGCACGCUAUUGAAAACUACACUACGCUGCUAGCGUAAAUUGGAAUCUUCCGUGACUUCCUUACUGAAAAGUCCGCAAUCAGCUCUGUAAAAUCAAGCUGUCUAAGAAUGUCCCUUUCUAUGGAUAACUGUGGCAAGUUGCAUCUUUCCAACCAUGCAGUAGUGAUCGAAUGCUUCGAGCUAAGCGGCAAGAAAGCCUUUGAACGAUCUCAACGAGGAACGGCAUUUCAUGCUCUGUUCUAACAGUCCCAGAUUUCAUCUUCCACCACAGAUGCACAUCACACCCACAACAACACGCGCAAGCAUGAAGGACGUCGCCGCUUCAAAUCUGGCCACCUUAUUUGUAGUCGUCGGCGUCACGCUGAGGCGUCCAGCACGAGACAGACGUUGACUCUCACGGCCUGCACGUGAUCUGGAAGCCGCCGCCGCUUCCUCGCUCGGAGUUCCGAGGGAGCGUAAUGAUGCCCUUCCCCGCUUUUGUCAUGGAGAACGUGAAACAGCCGGAGAGAGUGAGCUCGAAGGAGGGCCAUAAUUAGAGCACCUGUCGCUGGGGCCCGACCUUCCGCCGCCGAUUUGGGCACAGGACCAUUUCGACUGCCAACGUGAAGGUUUUCAUGUGCAUCCCAGUUCGUUCACUCAUGAUCUAAGUCUCAAAGGAGCACUGAGGUGCACCACCUGUUCCGCCAGAGAGGCCUCUGUUCCGCACA
Long non-coding RNA from Ornithodoros turicata, 983 nucleotides. RefSeq lists it as uncharacterized. The record is from RefSeq and is a predicted model, not a curated record. The transcript is spliced from 6 exons. NCBI's taxonomy places the organism in Eukaryota, Metazoa, Arthropoda, Arachnida, Ixodida, Argasidae.